ACCCCUAUGUGCACCACCGCGUGGGUCUUCCUUUGGCUCGUCCGAAGGGGGGCUUACGUUUUCACACAAACUUUGUAUGCAGUGUAGAAUGUACCUUUGUUUUGCGAUCACGCAAUUAAUACAACUUUCAACAACGGAUCUCUUGGCUCUCGCAUCGAUGAAGAACGCAGCGAAAUGCGAUACGUAAUGUGAAUUGCAGAAUUCAGUGAAUCAUCGAAUCUUUGAACGCACCUUGCGCCCCUUGGCAUUCCGAGGGGCACACCCGUUUGAGUGUCGUGAAAUUCUCAAAACCCUUUUCUUUUUGGGAGAAGGGUUUUGGACUUGGAGGCCUUUUGCUGGCUUUGCCUUGAAGCCAGCUCCUCCUAAAUGAAUUAGUGGGGUCCACUUUGCCGAUCCUUGACGUGAUAAGAUGUUUCUGCGUCUUGUGGUUUGACACUGUCACCCGCUUCUAAUCGUCUCAUUGACAAUUGAUGGUGUUCCGGUCACCACCUCUCUAUGGGGUGGUUGGCUUGACCCACAACAUGACCUUGACCUCAAAUCGGGUGAGACUACCCGCUGAACUUAAGCAUAUCAAUAAGCGGAGGAA
RNAcentral lists this ribosomal RNA (586 nucleotides) under uncultured fungus. RNAcentral describes it as "eukaryotic LSU rRNA". The stretch from base 123 to 276 matches the Rfam family "5.8S ribosomal RNA". Lineage: Eukaryota; Fungi. The record is from RNAcentral.